This 63-nucleotide transfer RNA is filed under the name Terebratulina retusa. RNAcentral's name for it is "transfer RNA-Pro". Lineage: Eukaryota; Metazoa; Brachiopoda; Rhynchonellata; Terebratulida; Cancellothyrididae. The record is from RNAcentral.
CAGAAAAUAGUUUAAACAGAACCCUAGCUUUGGGAGCUAACAGUCAAUACUAUUGUUUUCUGA